ACAGGUGCGCAGCCGCGGGGCGCAGUGGGGCUGCGCGCGGGCGCUCGCGGCCGGCUGGAGGUGCCCGGCGAUCGGCCCCGCUCGAGCGGGGGACACUCACCGAGCGGCUGGAGAGUCUUUUCCGGGAGCUCCGGCUGAACAUGGCCGGACGCCUCCUGCUCGCAGCGCCGUCCGUCGGCAAUACAGUUACUAAAGGAACUUGAAGAGAUCCUCAUACAUAAUUGUCAACACGGGAAGACGCCUUUGCUAUAAUGUAAGGUGGAAAAACAAAACCCGAAUAGACUGUCUGCCUGUAAUUGCUCCUAAAAUAUGCAUCAAGAAACUGGAAAGAAAUACACAACACGUUAAAAUGCCACUGUUUGCAGAAUACAUUCAAAAGUAUUAUAUUGGGACUCCAAGACUCACAGUGAGGUCAGAAAAGGAAACAAACACUCGCUGAAGCUGUGUGACUUCCCCGACACGUAUGCUGAGUGCUCCACCGGAUUGUCUGAAUCCGACCUGCAGACAAGAAAAGAGAAGGUAAAGAGUCAGUGAGGACUGGUGGACGUAUUUUCCCCAGAUUUCA
This is a long non-coding RNA of Homo sapiens (human), 565 nucleotides long. Ensembl annotates it as PRICKLE2 divergent transcript. Its record names the gene PRICKLE2-DT. The record is from Ensembl. Lineage: Eukaryota; Metazoa; Chordata; Mammalia; Primates; Hominidae.